RNAcentral lists this long non-coding RNA (374 nucleotides) under Daucus carota (carrot). RNAcentral's name for it is "long non-coding RNA (DCAR_LNC000302)". The record is from RNAcentral. Lineage: Eukaryota; Viridiplantae; Streptophyta; Magnoliopsida; Apiales; Apiaceae.
UGCAUCCUUAUUAACAUGAGCUAUGUCAGAGGUUAAUCUUUCUUUUUGAGGUUCUGCAACAUGAGCUUUGUCAGAGAUUGCAGCUUCUGUCUUCUUUUCCUUUACAACUUGAUCCUUGUCAGAGGUUGUAGACUUCUUCUUAUCCCAGCCUUUCUCCAGAUGUUCAUCUACUUUGCUUUUACCCUUGGAAGUGUAUUCAUCUUCAGAGUAUACCUUUUUGACUGGUAAACUCUGAUCAGCAACAGUAGGUUCCUUAAUCAAUAUCCCCUUUUCCUUUGGUUUGGCAGUUGACUUUGCAGGCUUUUGGAUCUUUCCAGAGUUUAUGGCUUCAAUAUGUUCCUUUUUCAGCUCAGCUUCCUCUGCAGCAAUCAACU